Molecule: transfer RNA, 77 nt
Filed under: uncultured Gammaproteobacteria bacterium
Lineage: Bacteria; Pseudomonadati; Pseudomonadota; Gammaproteobacteria
Description: tRNA-Ile
Rfam family: tRNA
About the family: Transfer RNA (tRNA) molecules are approximately 80 nucleotides in length. Their secondary structure includes four short double-helical elements and three loops (D, anti-codon, and T loops). Further hydrogen bonds mediate the characteristic L-shaped molecular structure. tRNAs have two regions of fundamental functional importance: the anti-codon, which is responsible for specific mRNA codon recognition, and the 3' end, to which the tRNAs corresponding amino acid is attached (by aminoacyl-tRNA synthetases). tRNAs cope with the degeneracy of the genetic code in two manners: having more than one tRNA (with a specific anti-codon) for a particular amino acid; and 'wobble' base-pairing, i.e. permitting non-standard base-pairing at the 3rd anti-codon position.
Source: RNAcentral
GGCCUGUAGCUCAGCUGGUUAGAGCACCGUGUUGAUAACGCGGGGGUCGGCAGCUCAAGUCUGCCCAGGCCUACCAA